This 229-nucleotide ribosomal RNA is filed under the name uncultured bacterium. RNAcentral's name for it is "partial 16S ribosomal RNA". It matches the Rfam family "Bacterial small subunit ribosomal RNA", at positions 568 to 796 of the family's 1533-position model. The record is from RNAcentral.
UGCGUAGGUGGUUUUGUAUGUCGGAUGUGAAAGCCCAUGGCUCAACCGUGGAAUUGCAUCCGAAACUGCAAAGCUUGAGUACAGGAGGGGAGAGCGGAAUUCUUGGUGUAGCGGUGAAAUGCGUUGAUAUCAAGAAGAACACCGGUGGCGAAGGCGGCUCUCUGGAAUGUUACUGACACUGAGGCACGAAAGUCGGGGUAGCAAACAGGAUUAGAUACCCUGGUAGUCC